This 583-nucleotide ribosomal RNA is filed under the name uncultured bacterium. RNAcentral describes it as "partial 16S ribosomal RNA". It matches the Rfam family "Bacterial small subunit ribosomal RNA", at positions 355 to 935 of the family's 1533-position model. The record is from RNAcentral.
UGGGGAAUUUUGGACAAUGGGCGCAAGCCUGAUCCAGCCAUGCCGCGUGCGGGAAGAAGGCCUUCGGGUUGUAAACCGCUUUUGUCAGGGAAGAAAUCUUCUGAGUUAAUACCUCGGGAGGAUGACGGUACCUGAAGAAUAAGCACCGGCUAACUACGUGCCAGCAGCCGCGGUAAUACGUAGGGUGCAAGCGUUAAUCGGAAUUACUGGGCGUAAAGCGUGCGCAGGCGGUUUUGUAAGACAGAGGUGAAAUCCCCGGGCUCAACCUGGGAACUGCCUUUGUGACUGCAAGGCUUGAGUGCGGCAGAGGGGGGAUGGAAUUCCGCGUGUAGCAGUGAAAUGCGUAGAUAUGCGGAGGAACACCGAUGGCGAAGGCAAUCCCCUGGGCCUGCACUGACGCUCAUGCACGAAAGCGUGGGGAGCAAACAGGAUUAGAUACCCUGGUAGUCCACGCCCUAAACGAUGUCAACUGGUUGUUGGGAAGGUUCCUUCUCAGUAACGUAGCUAACGCGUGAAGUUGACCGCCUGGGGAGUACGGCCGCAAGGUUGAAACUUAAAGGAAUUGACGGGGUCAUAGCUGUUU